UUAUCGGUGGGGGAUGGACUCGCGGCCUAUCAGCUUGUUGGUGAGGUAAUGGCUCACCAAGGCGACGACGGGUAGCCGGCCUGAGAGGGUGACCGGCCACACUGGGACUGAGACACGGCCCAGACUCCUACGGGAGGCAGCAGUGGGGAAUAUUGCACAAUGGGCGCAAGCCUGAUGCAGCGACGCCGCGUGAGGGAUGACGGCCUUCGGGUUGUAAACCUCUUUCAGUAGGGAAGAAGCGAAAGUGACGGUACCUGCAGAAGAAGCGCCGGCUAACUACGUGCCAGCAGCCGCGGUAAUACGUAGGGCGCAAGCGUUAUCCGGAUUUAUUGGGCGUAAAGAG
The sequence is a ribosomal RNA, 343 nucleotides long. It matches the Rfam family "Bacterial small subunit ribosomal RNA", at positions 212 to 567 of the family's 1533-position model.